UGCGGCCGCGUCGCUGCUUCUUCGCUUCUGGCACGCGAUCGCGUCGUCCAUGCGAUCGUGUGGAUACCAGUUUCUGCAAAACUCCGUUUCGCACUUUCCUUCCAUUUUUGUACGUUUCCUUUUCCAUCCUUUAAGUCAUUCUGCCUUAGAAAAUCUGAAACUACUCAACACACUAAUCAUGGCAUCGAAUGGAAAUAAAGGUAAUUAAAAUAAUUAAUUCUAAAGCUUAGGAAACAUGUUUUUCACAUACAUCACAUAAUAAGGAAGGAAAAGUAAAACCAUGCAAUUAAUAUGAAUAAGUGGGUGAAGGAUUGAAUAAAUCACUCAAACUAAGCACAAAAUAACUCAUGAAAUAUGGGUUUAUC
RNAcentral lists this long non-coding RNA (365 nucleotides) under Arachis ipaensis. RNAcentral's name for it is "long non-coding RNA (AIPA_LNC000143)". Lineage: Eukaryota; Viridiplantae; Streptophyta; Magnoliopsida; Fabales; Fabaceae. The record is from RNAcentral.